Dioscorea cayenensis subsp. rotundata (Guinea yam) is the source of this 3191-nucleotide RNA transcript. RefSeq lists it as uncharacterized. The record is from RefSeq and is a predicted model, not a curated record. The transcript is spliced from 6 exons. NCBI's taxonomy places the organism in Eukaryota, Viridiplantae, Streptophyta, Magnoliopsida, Dioscoreales, Dioscoreaceae.
UCUUAUUAUCUCUUCGAUUCCUCUUCGCCCUAAACUCUCCCACCUUCGCGCACGCACACACACACCACUUCUCUUCUCGUUAAAUCCCCCGCCAAACUAUAUAUAUCUAUAACUCCCGCCCUUUUUCAAACCCCCUCAUGGCCGCCCAACCCUCUCCCAAGAAGCGCCCGAGGCCUCCCGCCGACGACCAUGACCUCAAGAAGGUAGCUGAGAUCGUCAUGGUGCUCUCCGCCAUGGCUGACAUGCGCGCUGGUGCUCCCCCCACCUCUGUGGAGAAGUCCCUAAUCGCUGAGGCCCGGGAGAAGCUUGUUAAGGCUUGCGAGGAUGCCCGGCCCCGGGAUUUGUUCUCCAGAGAGGCGGUUAGGGUUUUGGUUGAGGAUCUUGGGCUUAAUCGCUCGAGGGAUCCUUUGUUGGGAUUUCGGCCACCCAAGAUGUCUGUUGCUGAGAAGCUUUUGCUUACUAAGAGAAAGAUGGAGGAAUCUAAGGAAGUGGUGUCACAUUCGUCAGCCAACGCAACUCAAUUUCAGCCAAUAAGCUUUCAUGCUAGCUCUGAUGGCAAUAAUUCUCUAUUUCAUGGAGCUCCUAGGUUUUUACCAGAUAAACCAAGCCCCUUGCCAUAUCAUGCUGGAGGUGUUCAGACUGCUUCACCCAUGGUGGCUGUUCCAACAGUAGGUUCUGCAAGCUCAUCAUCAAAGCUACUGCAAAUGUCUGCAACGCAUCCUGUUAUUACUUCUGCAAAGUUGGCAACUAGUUCAACUCCUUUUGCCACAACAUCUCAUGCAGAAGUAACACACUUUAGAUUGGGUCCUCGAUCUAAUGGCUCACCAUAUUUAACUCGUGUUCGAGCUACCACUGAUUGCCUGCCAGAGAAAUCAUCAACCUUAUCAGCUCAUUCAGCGCCCAAUCCUGCACUGAGAUUUGGGCAGACAAAUAAGUUCCAGGAUGCUAGUACAGUAAAACAGGAAGCUGUUCAUGAAGUUAAUGGCAUCCAGACUUCUGUUCCUGUUAUUGCAGAUCAGGAUUUCAAAGGUUCUACAGUGCAAGCUACACCAGGAAACCUUUUCAUGGGACACCAUUCUGGUUUAACUUAUGUGCAUCCUCCUUCUGGGUUCCCCAGCCAUAAUGAUAUUGCUCAAAUUGUCCAAAGGACGCUGCAGAAUAAGACAUCUGAGCAUUCUAACUGGACACCUCCAUCAACUGAAUAUGUAAAUAAGGGUCUGUCUUGUCAGAUAUGCAAGGUUGCAAUUUCUGAUGUAGAAAGUCUGCUUGUCUGUGAUUCUUGUGAGAAAGGAACCCACUUGAAAUGCCUUCAGUCCUAUGGUAACAAAGGCAUGUCCAAGCUUGAGUGGCACUGCCCAAAAUGCUUGAUAUCAAGCAACGGGAAGCCAUUGCCACCUAAAUAUGGCCGAGUUACGAGAAGCCCUGCUCCUGCUGUAUCAAAGGAUCCAUCCAGCAUAAGUGGCACUCAGGCUUCUACAGAAACAAAGCCUGAAACCCCAGACUCAAAAACAAACCAUCAAAUCCCCAAUGGAAAUUCUAGUUUUCUUGUUCAUGCUUCAACAACGGGUGGUAAUGUUGGUGAUGCUGUCCCAAAUUUGAAGACGGAUGAAACAAAAGAGAUGCAAGAUAUGGGUUUUACCAUCAGAACAAAGAUGGAAGAUGAGAUGUGCAUUGGGGCAACCAGUGAUCAUUCAAAAGAAGUUGCUGGAAAGGGAUGUGUUAAUCUGGGCCCAGAUAGCACAUGUCCUGAUGAGAACAUUGAGACUACCUCGUCAUCUCCAAGCAAAACGCAGAAACCAAAUUCUGAAUCUAUGUUGCCGAUGAAGGGUGAAGAUUCUUCAAACCCACACGAUGAGAUCAUCGAACCUGAUGAUAUUAAGUGCGCAUCUAACUCAAAUGGCAUUGCUAGCCAAUCUCUUGCAGUGUGUGAUUCACAAGUUGAUAAUAAAUUAGAUGCGCCAAUCAAUUUUGAAGGAUCUGUAGAUCUUCUACAUGAAUCCAGCAAAGCAAACAUAGACGAAUCGGAGAAGCCAUCUAAGUCAAGUGAAUUAUCGAUAGUUAAUGCAGAUUCUGAAAAGAGUAAAGACGAGGUAGAUGCUAAUAAGGAGACUCCAAGUGGAGCAUUGAGCAAUGGUGAUGUGAUUGGAGUCUGUGUCACACCUGUAUCAGGUCCUUCCAUAAUGGAUUGGGUUGGCGAUAUUCUUGAAGUUGCUGAAGAGAAAAAUUACUAUCAGGCUUGCCUUAUCAAAGGCGCAGUUCACAAGCUCCAAGAUCAUGUCAUGGUUUCUUCCAACAGUCAAAAAGCUUAUCCUUCAAAGAUUCAGAAUUUGUGGGAAGACAAUAAAGCUGGAUUGAAAUUGGCCAUUGUCAUUCCAUACUAUUUCCCAGCAGACAUUCCAGAGGCUGUCGGUUGUCCAUCAAUCCCCGUAGACCGUGAGGUAAGGUCUAUGCUUCAAAUAAGGAAAACACCAUAAUGGUCCAGGAGAUUCUUGGUACUUGUGAGGUUCUACCUUUGCACAAGUUUAAAGAAGAAUGCAGCAAUAGCAGCAAUUUGCAAGCUACAGAUAAUUCUUCACAUCCCAUUUUCUUCUGCAAAUGGACAUACGAUGAAUCAAAAGGCAUGUUUUAUUCCCACGACAGUUAAUCCUCAUUCACUAUAAAAAUUCGGCAGCCUGCCUUCACAUUUGCAGCUGGCUAUUCUUUUCAUGAUGCCUAUCAAAAUAACAUGUGCUUCACAUAUAUGCUGUCCUUGGUAUAAUUUCACUCAAAUGAAAAGAGUCAUCUCAUAUCGCCAUCUUUGUCCAUGUGUUUGAUCCUGCUUUGGUGAAGUUUUGCAUGCUUAUUCUUCGGAUGAGAAAGUUAAUCAAUUCACUUGGUUCAUUCUUGGCUUUAUCAAUUUCAAACGGGAAUCUCGGGGCUUGAAAUCCAUGACUUAUUAUGAGAAGCAAACAAGAUUAUUUUCUUCAACAUUGUUGUACACUAAGCAUACAUCUUUUCAAGUUUAUUCCCUUUCUUAUAGUUUCAAGUUUUUCUAGGAUCAUUUGAUAACAUUUCACUGAGUGUAAAGUUGAUGGAUGCAACAUCUUUCAGAGUUGUUCCUGUAUUUUCUUCUAUUGUUCUUUAUAAGCUGACACUUUUAGAAAGUGCAUCCAUUUUUCCUACAAACUUCUUCUUCUCAUAUUAAUCCAUUA